GUCUCUGUAGAGCAAGGAAUAGCGUGUUGGAUUUCUAAUUCAAAGGUCGUGGAUUCGAAUCUCACCUGGGAUG
RNAcentral lists this transfer RNA (73 nucleotides) under Trichonephila clavata. It matches the Rfam family "tRNA". From Rfam's summary of the family: Transfer RNA (tRNA) molecules are approximately 80 nucleotides in length. Their secondary structure includes four short double-helical elements and three loops (D, anti-codon, and T loops). The record is from Rfam by way of RNAcentral. Lineage: Eukaryota; Metazoa; Arthropoda; Arachnida; Araneae; Nephilidae.